Long non-coding RNA from Monodelphis domestica (gray short-tailed opossum), 1772 nucleotides. RefSeq lists it as uncharacterized. The record is from RefSeq and is a predicted model, not a curated record. Lineage: Eukaryota; Metazoa; Chordata; Mammalia; Didelphimorphia; Didelphidae.
GGCCCUGCUUGCCUUAUUUCUCCUCUUGGGGAUGGGAAGCUCCUGCCUGUAUGCCUAGAGCCUCAAAGCUCUUCCCAAACGAACCAGAAACGACCACGUCCUGGAGAAACUGAAAGAAAUCGGGCCAUUUAAUUUUUUUUUUCUCUCUGUUAGCAUAAGCCGAUUGAGCUAGAAAUGGAAAAUGAAAGCCUUCUGUCAUAAAAGGCCACUUCAGUGGCAGAGUGCUGGCCUGGAAAAACAGAGAAAAGAUUUCGCAAAGACAUUCUCUAGUGAGGGAGGCGCAGGCCGGUUUUGUUGGCCAAAUUCAGGAAAUCACACACACGUCGGGCAGCUCCAUUUUCAGUGGCAACCUUGAGAGACGCGCCUUGGCAUUGGCUGGCAUGGCCACCAAAGGCCCGCACUGGCAUUUUAUGGGACAUAAAUGAUAGCCCUGCUGCUGGGAGUUUGUAAUUAUUUAAUCAAACCCAGACGGUGGAACCUGGAGGGACAGCGUGUAUCCUUCUAAAAGAGGAAAAAAAGGCAACUCUCCAUGGCUUGCCAACCAUGGAGGAGGGCAACCCCUUAGGCCAGCCGGAGCCUUUUUCCCAGGAAUGUCCAGAGGUUGGAGCAGGGAUGCUUCCUGCCCACAGCCUGCCUCAUCCUGACGGAGCCAUGUACUUAGGCCAUUCCUGGGCAACCUACUCCCUCCCAACCGCUUUGAUGUGCUGGUGCCGCCCAAAGAAAGGAUGCCUGGACUGGUGAUGUCAUAAUGGCGUCCUUUUCAAAGAAUAUUAAGUUAAAGGAAAACACCAUUGGAUAAACUGACUUCAAUGGGACUUUGAGAUAGGGAAAUAAAAGGGGUUACAUGAUAUAGUAGAAAAUGGGAUUGAUUCAAAGUCAAGAGUAUUUGGGUUCCUUUCCUGCUACAUUACUUGUUCCCCUUGGGUCUAUCGGACAAAUCACUUCUCAUCUAAGACUUAAGAUUGUCAAAUGAGAAGAACGGAAGAUGAGCAGGUUACAUUUGAAAUUCACUCUCAUCUGAAUUGGUCAAAAGAGAGAAGAACACAUACAAAGAAAUGUAUAUUUUACUCAGAGAAUAGGAGGGAAAGGGGGAAAUGAAAGAGAGACAAUAGAUUAAGGAAGAUAUUCAUCUUCAGUUGAAUAAAUUCUGAAAGAAGAAAUCAGAAACAAAAAGUAGGCAACCUAUCGGAGAAUAAGAUGGAAGGAAAUACACAAUAAAUGUGAAUUUCACCAACGGAACUCGAGAGGAUAAAAGAAUGGAGUAAAAAAUAAAAUUUAACAAUGCAUUCUUUAUAAGAAAUACACUGGAAUUUGGAGGAAAAUGUAUAGCCUGUGUCUCUGACAAAUGCUAAAUUUCUCAAAUAUACAGAGAACUGAGUCAAAUUUAUAAAACUACAAAGUAUCUCCCAAAUGAAAAAAAAAUGAUCAGAGUAUAUGAACAGACAGUUCUCAGAGAAGAGAUUUAAAAUAUCUAUAGUCCUGAAAAAAAUGCCCCAAACAUUAUUGAUUAGAGCAAAACAAGUUUAAAAACUCUGAGAUACCACUUCACACCUAUUAGAUUGGUUAACGUGACCAAAAAGGAAAAUAAUAAUGUUGGAGAGGAUGUUGGAAAAUUGGUAUGCUAAUCUACUAUUUGUAGAACUGUGAACUGAUACAACCAUUCUAGAGAAAAAUAUGGAAUUGGGAUCAAAGGGCAUUAAAACUAUGAAUACCCUUUGACCCAGUAAUAUCACUACUGAGUCUAUAUCCAGAAGAGAUGAGAGAUAAGGAAA